UCCUACGGGAGGCAGCAGUGGGGAAUAUUGCACAAUGGGCGCAAGCCUGAUGCAGCCAUGCCGCGUGUGUGAAGAAGGCCUUCGGGUUGUAAAGCACUUUCAGUCGUGAGGAAGGUAGUGUAGUUAAUAGCUGCAUUAUUUGACGUUAGCGACAGAAGAAGCACCGGCUAACUCCGUGCCAGCAGCCGCGGUAAUACGGAGGGUGCGAGCGUUAAUCGGAAUUACUGGGCGUAAAGCGCAUGCAGGUGGUUUGUUAAGUCAGAUGUGAAAGCCCGGGGCUCAACCUCGGAAUAGCAUUUGAAACUGGCAGACUAGAGUACUGUAGAGGGGGGUAGAAUUUCAGGUGUAGCGGUGAAAUGCGUAGAUAUAUGGAGGAACACCGGUGGCGAAAGCGGCUCUCUGGACUGUAACUGACACUGAGGCUCGAAAGCGUGGGUAGCAAACAGGAUUAGAUACCCUGGUAGUCCACGCCGUAAACGAUGAGUGCUAGUUGUUUGGGGCUAUCCAGCCCUAAGUGACGCAGCAAACGCAUUAAGCACUCCGCCUGGGGAGUACGACCGCAAGGUUGAAACUCAAAGGAAUUGACGGA
RNAcentral lists this ribosomal RNA (589 nucleotides) under uncultured bacterium. Its description in RNAcentral is "bacterial SSU rRNA". It matches the Rfam family "Bacterial small subunit ribosomal RNA", at positions 337 to 917 of the family's 1533-position model. The record is from RNAcentral.